GUUUGUGGUAGCAAGAACCCACAAGGAUUCAAAGGACCCAAGGCAUGCAUGCAAGUAGAUCUUAGAAUCUGUGGUGAUUUUGAAGCUAAAUGAACAAUGGCAAAGGUAAUCUUAGAAGUGAAGAAGUUGUGGAUCACAUUUGGGAAAUUCAAUCUUAAACCUAAAGGAAGAGUAUAGUAAGCAAAGUUGCCAUUGUGGCAUGCCGGAGGAAGUAACCAGAGAUCGACAAGUGGAAAUUAGCUAGAUACGCGUUUAAGUCAAUAGCAACAUAAUGUCCCACUAUUGUGAGAUAGUGAUCAGACUAACGUGAUUUCAUUGGCAUUUCAGCCCACCGCGGAUAGCUAAAGGCAUUCCAAGUCGUUUUACUGCUAGAGGUCGAGUCUUCAUAGAGUAAUUUGUUAUGAAAUUAGACAAUUAUGUCAAUGCAAGUGUACAUUUGGAGAUUAUAAAUUUGUUAGCUUUAAAAUUAUUAUAGUUUUGAUUAUGACAA
Molecule: long non-coding RNA, 490 nt
Organism: Theobroma umbraticum
Lineage: Eukaryota; Viridiplantae; Streptophyta; Magnoliopsida; Malvales; Malvaceae
Source: RefSeq, a predicted model, not a curated record